Drosophila navojoa is the source of this 808-nucleotide long non-coding RNA. RefSeq lists it as uncharacterized. Lineage: Eukaryota; Metazoa; Arthropoda; Insecta; Diptera; Drosophilidae. The record is from RefSeq and is a predicted model, not a curated record.
CCAAACAGCAAAAGCGAAAAAGGCUUAAUUUGUAGCCAAGUUAAGUUAUAUUCACACGCUUUUUGAUACCAAUUGCAAACAAUUGCCCUGCGUCAACACGUCUGCCACGCCCCCCUAUUACUCCCCAGCUCCAGUCACGCUUAGGCAGUUUUGUCAAAAUACAAAAAUUGGCCAAAAAGGCAGGCGACAAAGCGGCUAAGAAAACAACAGCCGAAAGAAAACAAAAAUAAAAUAAAACACACACACACACACAAAUACAGACACAAAGACAAGACUGUUGGCAGCUAAUAAUGAAACUAAGUUGGUAAUAAAGCUGGCCUAAACCUAGCCAGCGACUUGGGUGUGCUUUGUAUGAUGUUUGCCUAUCAAGGACUGAUUGUACGGCCGAGAGUCAUUUUGAGGGUACUGAACGACUGGCAGAUGCCGUAACUAUGCUUGCUUUUGCCUUGGCCGGGAUCAGUGCGCCUCUAUGAUGCCACCAGGUUCAACAUGCCACUUGGGUUAAUUUCGACCAGGGCUGGACCUGGGUCCGGAUCUGACCACAAACUGACUCGAGUGGCAGCAGAAGACGCACAAGUUGCAUGCAAAUAAUUACCCAAAGGAAAUCCAGCAACAAGUCUCAAUGCGUUGCGAGUCGAGGCAAGUCGUGUAGACGACAAUGGAAAUGAGCCAUGCGUUGUUAUUGUUCAGAUUUAACAUUUCCUGCAUGUGCCACACACACACACACACAUACACACAUGCAGAGCGAGAACUGAGUGAAAUCUGUCAAAAUAAACCAACUGCGACUGCGUCUACAACAUUUGGGAAA